GCUAGAGAGGGGUCCCUUAUGAGGAAACCAUAUUGUACCUUACAAGAUGGAUACACAUUGCCUGAGUUAAAAGGAAUGAAAAGACAUUGCAAAGGAGGCAAGUUAGCAGGUUGUGGCAUCUUGAAAGGUGCAUAUGGUGAGGGCAUAACGCAAACCAGACAGAAGGACUAUGGCAAUCACUCUACAGCGUCUCUCUCUCUCUCUCACCUGAAUGGCUGUGACCCCGUGGUGAACUAA
This 237-nucleotide long non-coding RNA is filed under the name Chinchilla lanigera (long-tailed chinchilla). RNAcentral describes it as "lncRNA (ENSCLAG00000022946.1)". The record is from RNAcentral. Lineage: Eukaryota; Metazoa; Chordata; Mammalia; Rodentia; Chinchillidae.